UGGGGAAUAUUGGACAAUGGGCGAAAGCCUGAUCCAGCCAUGCCGCGUGUGUGAAGAAGGUCUUCGGAUUGUAAAGCACUUUAAGUUGGGAGGAAGGGCAGUAAGCGAAUACCUUGCUGUUUUGACGUUACCGACAGAAUAAGCACCGGCUAACUCUGUGCCAGCAGCCGCGGUAAUACAGAGGGUGCAAGCGUUAAUCGGAAUUACUGGGCGUAAAGCGCGCGUAGGUGGUUCGUUAAGUUGAAUGUGAAAGCCCCGGGCUCAAACUGGGAACUGGAUCCCAAACUGGCGAGAUAGAGUAGGGCAGAGGGUGGUGGAAUUUCCUGUGUAGCGGUGAAAAGCGUAGAUAUAGGAAGGAACACCAGUGGCGAAGGCGACCACCUGGGCUCAUACUGACACUGAGGUGCGAAAGCGUGGGGAGCAAACAGG
Molecule: ribosomal RNA, 429 nt
Filed under: Pseudomonadota bacterium
Lineage: Bacteria; Pseudomonadati; Pseudomonadota
Description: Proteobacteria bacterium partial 16S ribosomal RNA
Rfam family: Bacterial small subunit ribosomal RNA
Source: RNAcentral